UCAAGAUGUAGCUUAGGUAAUAAGCUUUGAUUAGCUACAAUUUUUUAAAAAUGAAUGAUUUAAGUUAGUAAAUUUUUGAAACUGAAUUUAAUUGUAAUAUAAAUUAGAAUAUUUGUGUGAAUUAUUAUAUUUA
This 133-nucleotide ribosomal RNA is filed under the name Heterocranaus sp. DNA101443. Its description in RNAcentral is "partial 12S ribosomal RNA". The record is from RNAcentral. Lineage: Eukaryota; Metazoa; Arthropoda; Arachnida; Opiliones; Cranaidae.